GAGUAAUUGGUACUAACUACCCAUUAAUUAUUUGAAAGGCAUUCUUUCGGAGUUGAAAGUUCCGGCGGUUAGAGAUGGGCAUGCGUUGUAUUAGCUAGAUGGUGAGGUAACGGCUCACCAUGGCGACGAUACAUAGGGGGACUGAGAGGUUAACCCCCCACAUUGGUACUGAGACACGGACCAAACUCCUACGGGAGGCAGCAGUGAGGAAUAUUGGUCAAUGGACGCAAGUCUGAACCAGCCAUGCCGCGUGCAGGAUGACGGCUCUAUGAGUUGUAAACUGCUUUUGUAUUAGGGUAAACCUUAGUACGUGUACUAAGCUGAAAGUAUAAUACGAAUAAGGAUCGGCUAACUCCGUG
Molecule: ribosomal RNA, 359 nt
Filed under: uncultured bacterium
Lineage: Bacteria
Description: bacterial SSU rRNA
Rfam family: Bacterial small subunit ribosomal RNA
Source: RNAcentral